GUGCUCGCUUCGGCAGCACAUAUACUAAAAUUGGAACGAUACAGAGAAGAUUAGCAUGGCCCCUGCGCGCGCGCUUCAUGUCACUUGUAUCUAUAAUUUU
Molecule: small nuclear RNA, 100 nt
Filed under: Saimiri boliviensis boliviensis (Bolivian squirrel monkey)
Lineage: Eukaryota; Metazoa; Chordata; Mammalia; Primates; Cebidae
Source: RNAcentral